Molecule: ribosomal RNA, 255 nt
Filed under: uncultured bacterium
Lineage: Bacteria
Description: partial 16S ribosomal RNA
Rfam family: Bacterial small subunit ribosomal RNA
Source: RNAcentral
UACGGGGGAGGCAAGCGUGUUCGGAUUUACUGGGCGUAAAGGCGUGCGCAGGCGGUUUUGUAAGGUUCUGUCGUGAAAUCCCCGGGCCUCAACCUGGGAAUUGCGAUGGAGACUGCAAGGCUAGAAUCUGGCAGAGGGGGUAGAAUUCCACGUGUAGCAGUGAAAUGCGUAGAGAUGUGGAGGAACACCGAUGGCGAAGGCAAUCCCCUGGGCCUGCACUGACGCUCAUGCACGAAAGCGUGGGGAGCAAACAGG